CUUGGCAUCAUGUUCUCCUCCACCAGUCUUACACACUGCUUUUGGAUUACUUUAUGCUGCUUUACUCCUGGUGCAAAAAAUUAAGCAGUUCAGUUUGGUGGUUUGAUGGCUUGUGAUCAUCCAUCUUCCUCUUGAUUAUAUUCCAGAGAUUUUCAUCUUGGUGAAAUCAAAGAAACUCAUCUUUUUUUUUUUUUUUUAAGUGGUCGCUUAGUUUUUUUUUUCCAAAGCUGUAAAUCUAUUUUUCUGCAGGUUUCACCACUAACUAAAAAUACUGCACUCCAUCAGCUUAUUAGGCACUUCUCAAUACAGUGGUCUGUCCCAAUUGUGUACUAAUUACGUAUAACUAGUUUUUCAGUAUGUAAUAUGCAAAGAAAGUGUUAAAGUUGACUAUACUCAAAUGUCCAAGAAACAUACUCAGAACUCUGUUAGUACAGAUUGGGUUAUCAUAUUAAUAUUUAGUGCACUAACCUGACAAACCUGCACUAUUAAAAUUAGUAUACACCUUAUACUUUAAAUUAUAAUACACAAUUGGGACACAGACAGUAAUUAGUUUGAUUGAAAUAAAUGAUAAAGUCUGCAGGAGCGCUAGUUAACUUUAAUCUCUGUAUUAAUUGUGAAUCACAACUUCAUGACUGAGAUUAUGGCUGAGAAAAGCUUAAAUUUAAGGGAACUGAUCAGAAAAUUAAAGAGUUCAUUGCUAAUUAUGUUAUAGCUUUAACGGCUGUGCUGAAUUUUAAUCCAAGAGUUUGUAAAUUUUGCUUUCACAAGUAUUUAAUGUUUGUUGCUCAGCUUGAUUUAAGAAUGACACGAUGACAUUAAUAACAGAAACCCUCUUCUGACAUGAAGGUCUGUUUGAGAGAAAUACUCUUUCUCACUGAUAUCAUUUUUCUUUGCAUUUUGCCCCAGACCUUGUUGGUUAAAGCCUGCCUUUGGAGGAGUUAUUUUAAUAAUCAACAGAGAUGUGGGAAUUAUAACAUUCCAGCUUACAAUAACUGUUUUGAUAUUAAAGCAUAUUGCUUGAAUUUGA
Molecule: long non-coding RNA, 1027 nt
Organism: Astyanax mexicanus (Mexican tetra)
Lineage: Eukaryota; Metazoa; Chordata; Actinopteri; Characiformes; Acestrorhamphidae
Exons: 2
Source: RefSeq, a predicted model, not a curated record